UACAGAGGUGGCAAGCGUUGUUCGGAAUUACUGGGCGUAAAGGGCGCGUAGGCGGUCCGAUAAGUCCCGUGUGAAAUCCCUCGGCUCAACUGAGGAAUGGCACGGGAAACUGACGGGCUUGAGUUCGGGAGAGGGAAGCGGAAUUCCGGGUGUAGCGGUGAAAUGCGUAGAGAUGUGGAGGAAUACCGAUGGCGAAGGCAGCCUCCUGGGCCAACACUGACGCUCAUGCACGAAAGCGUGGGGAGCAAACAGG
RNAcentral lists this ribosomal RNA (253 nucleotides) under uncultured bacterium. RNAcentral describes it as "partial 16S ribosomal RNA". It matches the Rfam family "Bacterial small subunit ribosomal RNA", at positions 524 to 776 of the family's 1533-position model. The record is from RNAcentral.